RNAcentral lists this ribosomal RNA (510 nucleotides) under bacterium M2(2012). Its description in RNAcentral is "bacterial SSU rRNA". It matches the Rfam family "Bacterial small subunit ribosomal RNA", at positions 82 to 588 of the family's 1533-position model. The record is from RNAcentral.
CGAUGGGCGUCGGGCGGCGUAAGGGUGAGUAAUGCCUAGGAAAGUGCCUUGAUGUGGGGGAAAACCAUUGCAAACNAUGGCUAAUGUCUCAUGAUGCCUAGGGGCUUCAGAUGGCGACUUUCNAUUGNCUCNCGGGGGGAUAUGCCUAGGGGGGAGUAGCGGCUUGGUGAGGUAAUGGCUCACCACGGGUACGAUCCCUAGCUGGUCUGANAGGAUGAUCAGACACACUGGAAAUGACACACGGUCCAAACUCCGACGGAAGGCACCAAUGGGGAAAAUUGCACAAUGGGCCAAAGCCUGAGGCAGCCAUGCCNCGUGUAUGAAUAAAGCCUUCUGGUUGUAGAGUACUUUCUGUUGUGANGAANGGGGUAUCUUUAAUAUCUCUGUCUCUUGACGUUAGCAACAAAUCAAUCACCGGCUACCUCCUUGCCAGCAGCGNGGGUAAUACAGAGGGUGCUAGCGUUAAUCGGAAUUACUGGGCGUAUAUCGCAUGCGAGUGGUUCAUUCCNU